CCUACGGGUGGCAGCAGUGAGGAAUAUUGGUCAAUGGCCGGAAGGCUGAACCAGCCAAGCCGCGUGAAGGACGACGGCGCUAAGCAUUGUAAACUUCUUUUGUCAAGGGACAAAAUCAGGCACGUGAGCCUGACCGAGGGUACUUGAAGAAAAAGCAUCGGCUAACUCCGUGCCAGCAGCCGCGGUAAUACGGAGGAUGCGAGCGUUAUCCGGAUUUAUGGGGUUUAGGGGGUGCGUAGGCGGACUGUUAAGUCAGCGGUAAAAGCCCGGGGCUCAACCCCGGAGCGCCGUUGAAACUGGCUGUCUAGAGAGGUCGAGCGGUAUGCGGAAUGCGCAGUGUAGCGGUGAAAUGCUUAGAUAUUACGCAGAACACCGAUUGCGAAGGCAGCAUACCGGCCGCGAUCUGACGCUGAGGCACGAAAGCGUGGGGAGCGAACAGGAUUAGAUACCCGAGUAGUC
RNAcentral lists this ribosomal RNA (459 nucleotides) under uncultured bacterium. Its description in RNAcentral is "partial 16S ribosomal RNA". It matches the Rfam family "Bacterial small subunit ribosomal RNA", at positions 338 to 795 of the family's 1533-position model. The record is from RNAcentral.